This is a long non-coding RNA of Mytilus californianus (California mussel), 769 nucleotides long. RefSeq lists it as uncharacterized. Lineage: Eukaryota; Metazoa; Mollusca; Bivalvia; Mytilida; Mytilidae. The record is from RefSeq and is a predicted model, not a curated record. The transcript has 4 exons.
GGGUCAUACAGGAUUUAAAUAUACUUGGUAGUAAAAGUGCAAAAGAAUUUGUUGAAGGUUUCGGAUUUCAACUAUAUGAAGUUGGACUAAUUCCAGAGAAUGCAGAGUUUCUUAAGGAUACCAAUACAACCUUUGGAGACAGGAAAGAACGUCAGUUGGUAUCCAUGGAUUGUGCAAAUGGCGCUGACGCAGUAAUUAAAUACGGCUAUACUCACACCCAAGGUUGCGAUUGGUUAUAUGUUUGCGAUGGUAAUUGUGGUGAUGGAUGUUGAUGGAGAAUAACGCUAUGUAAAAGUAAGAAUGUCUCCCGCAAUGUGAUAAGCCGUGCAUCUGAAGCAGACUUCAGAUAUUUCAGGUUUACCACAUUCUGAAGAAAGUUGUGCAAAAUAGCAGAAUGAAACAAGCAGAAUGAAACAGAUGACUGACCGUUAUAAUCAUUCAACUAACCAGUUGUCGGGUGAACUUUCAAUAUGUAUGCAGUAAGUUGUGUUAAAUCUCAUAUUUCACACUGGAUGCUGAUUUUCUUCAAUGUUGUUACAUAGCUGACUGUAAAUUAUUUCACAAGCCACGAUUGAUAUCAGACACAAGAAUGAACGAAUUAGAGAAACGAUUGAUUAAACGACUGCUUAAAAAUGCAGUAUACAAAAUAGAAACUAAUGUAACAUUGACAAAGUUCAUGCAGGUAGUGAAAAUAAAGUUGUUUUUUUCAUGUCGUUUUCAUAUGUUCUCGUAUAAUUUUAUGUUUAACCAUCAAUAAAAUGUACAUUUA